AAUGUACCACUCCCAUCAAAGAAACUGCAUUUUGCCAUAGUGGUAUGUGCUAUUUCUCCUGCUGGACAGACAUCCUGUUGAGGAUUGCCAAGCCAAGGCUCCAGAACUGGCUGCAAAAGACAGUUUACUUGCCCUCCCAGAUACAGCAAAAGGAGAUGCUUGGCAAAUGCUUUGGAGGACCUGAACAGUGAUAUCACACAAGGCUGGCAGCUCUCCCUUGCCUCCAAACGAGGGGAGAGGAGAUGCUGAGACAGACUGUCUAGACAUUUUUCAGAUUGCUCAGUGUUCUCCAUCAAGGCCUGGACCACCUCCCAGAGAUUCCUGCACACAGGGGACUCUGUUCACAGGGAUUUCAACCAGCCUAUGCAAAUGCAUCUAUAGUACAAUCACAUCAUCUUCCCAAAUAUUCUGGAGGUGCCGUUCCCCAAGCCCUCUCCACAGAAGGGCAUUGCUAUGCUUGAGGAAGGAACAGAGGACAAGGAGUCCUCCUGAACAGUGCCCCUGGUCUCUAGACAGGUAUCUGAGGGGAAACUUACGUCUCUUGAAAUUGUGAACCUAGAUUUGCCUUCCCAGCAGCAUGGUACUACUAGGAAGCUACUAAGAAAGCCCUUAAAAUAACUGUUUUGCCAGCACGCAACCAGGCCAGCAGAGGCAAGAGCUGCUUAAGUGGCAGUGGCAGCUUGCAUCCCUCUUGACAUCCAGCAAAAGCGUACAGGCUUGAUAAACCUCUUCGCAAUUGAUAAACAAGCAUCAUUGUUCAGUAAUGCAGAAAGCGAGUUUUCUCUCUGCUCAGUCCCUUUUCCCCACUUUCGUGGCACUCAGUUGUACCUGAGCCUGACUUUAGUUACUCUGCCAGCUUUCUUCCUCGGGGUAGGCUGAAUGCUAAAUCAUCUCAAGAUUUUUCUGGCCUUUUAGUUUUUAGAGUUUGUUAGGAUCUCUACCUUCACGGAUCUGAUAGGGUAACAGUUUUACACUAAAAGAGAGUAGGUUUAGGUUAGACAGUAGGAAAAAAUUCUUUACGGUGAGGGUAAUGAAGCACUGGAGCAGGCUGCCCAGAGAAGCUGCAGAUGCCCCAUUCCCCGCAAGCGUUCAAGGCCAUGUUUGGAUGGAGCUUUGGGCACCCUGGUCUGGUGGGAGGUGUCCCUGCCCGUGGCAGGGGAAUUGGAACUAGAUGAUCUUUAAAGGUCCCUUCUGACCCAAACCUUUCUAUGUUUCCAUCUAAAUCAUGGUACAGGAAAUUAACACAGAAUUUUGGCGUUCUUUACAUUCAGAAAGCUGACAGGAGACUCAUCACUUGUUUCUGUUACCUUUAGAAUUUUCAAAUUGCGAAAUAUCAUUGUGGAUUUUGCUUUUUUCCUCAGGGAAACUUCUAAAACUCAAAGUUCCCCUCUCACUGAAAUGUCUGCAAUUGCUGCCACCUCUGUGUGAGGUAUGAUCUCUUCCUCUUGAAACUAUCAGGUAGAUUAUAAUAAGCACUUAGCUUUGAUUCCUGAAAAUUCAUAGCUAAUCACCAUAAAAUUUCACUUUUAUUGAGGUCCAUUUUACAUCUACUCUUCUGCACUUGAAAAGCAUUUUUCAUUUUGAUCAUUAAUCAUUGCUCUAGUAGCCUUAUUUAUCUAAGUUCCCAACUAACAUAUUCAUUCAGUGAAACUCCUACUAAAAUUAAAAGGAAUCCUAUUAGCAGUUAUAUCAGUAGCUUGUGUUACAGACAGCAAUGUUUAAUCAGACACCUAUCAAACUUAUGCAGAAAACCUUCCAUGGAACCUCAGAGCAAGGAAUAGAUAAACAUCUGGUCAUUAAAGAGGUUUCAUUUUUCAAGAAGGGAUGUAAGGAAUACAUUUGCAAAAGUGUAUCACCACAGACACAUUUGUAUAUGCAAAAAAUAGAACAAUUUACAAAGUAGUCGUGCAAAGUAAUUCUACAGUAAAUGCUGAUUUUGGCAGGCUCCAGUUCUAUAUGCAUAUUUUGCCAAACGUACCCCACUAGCCCUUUUCUUUUCCCUAGACUGGUCCUAAAAAUUCCUUCAGAAAACAAAGAUUCUGCACAUCUUAGCACUUUAUGAACUGUCUGUCAAGCAAGUACGGUUCCCACAGACUGCAAAGGAACUGCUAAGUGACCACACUUUAAUGCCAUUAAGCUACUGGGCUUCUGACAACCAUGUGUUUGUGUAAUGAAUCAGUCAAAUUAAAAGUGUGUGACAAAAA
Molecule: long non-coding RNA, 2204 nt
Organism: Cygnus olor (mute swan)
Lineage: Eukaryota; Metazoa; Chordata; Aves; Anseriformes; Anatidae
Exons: 2
Source: RefSeq, a predicted model, not a curated record